CUUUCAAUGAUCCUGCAUCAUUUUUAGCUACAAAUAAUAAUUUAGUAAUAGUAUAAUAUGAAAUUCUAUCCAAAUCACAUUCAAUUAAAAAUUUAUACACAUUUUGCAAAUUAUUCAAUUUAGUCCCUAAAACCGAUAUAGUCAUAUAUUUCAAAUUUGAUCUUCAAUUUUAAAAUCGAUCUCAGUUACAUCAUUCUAUAGCCCUAUAUUAUCUAUAAUUAUAGAAAUAUUACACCAAUUUCAAAAUUUAUGCAUUUUAGUCCCUAUGUUUAAAAACUAGCAAUUUAUCUUUACAAUCUAGUCCUUUUCACUUCUAAGCUUAAAAUCUAACAAUUUAGUAUCAAUUUAGUACCAAUUUAUUCAAGCAUUCAUCAAUGGAAACUUUUAGAAACUUUAACAGUAAAUAGUACACGGAUUAACUAUCUCAAGCUCCCACAAUCUCAAAAAUAUAAAAGUUAUAAGAAAUAAACUUGAAAUUGCUUACCAAUUGAAGUACUAAAGUUGAAAAGUUUCAAACCCUUUUCAUAGUUCAAUUUUCAGCCAGGGAAAAAAAGAUGAAGAAAAAAAAUGGUGACAUUUUAAGUUUUAGCUUAUAUACUUUUGAUUAAAACCUAACUAAUCAUAAUUAUUUAAUUAACCUUUAAUUAAGUAAAAUUUAAUUACAAUUAAUAAGUUAGUGGAUUUUAAUGCCAUUCCACCACCGUUUGACAUUUUAAAAUAGGUUCAGUUUCUUAAUUGGCCCCUCGAUUAAUUAAAAAUUCAUAAUAAUUAACGUUUAUAACUUUUACAAUUUAGUCCUUGUACUAUAAUUAACUAUCCAAUUAACAAAAUUAAAAUAUAAAACUUAAAUUAACAUUUCUACUAACCUAAUAUAAUAUUUACAGACUCGAAUAUCAAAAAUAGGGCUCCGAAACUAUCAUUUUUGACACCACUGAAAAACAUGUUGUUACCAUUUAAUUAAAUUUAAUUUAUUUAGUUAAUCCACUAUUGACAUCACCAUCCACUAACACCAACCUUGACAUUAUAUAAUUGUUAUUUUAGACCUUAAGUUAUUUUCUAAUAAAAAUAUCUACUGAUUGGACUUUAUAAUUUAGUCCCUGAACUAUAAUUAAUCACUAAUUCGGCUAAAUUACCUACCCAAAAUUCAAUUCACCUAUAUAAUAAGUCCAUAAUCACCUAUAUUUAAUAUUUACAUACUCUUUUAUGGAAAUAGGGUCCCAAACCCGUAAUUUCUGACAUAACAAGAAACUAGGUCGUUACAAAUAUAGAGCCGCAUCGACCUAUCUUUCUUUUUAACGAACAAUACUGGAGCUCCUCACAGCGAAAUACUGAAACAUAUAAAGCCAUAGUCCAGGAGAUCUUGCAAUUCAAUUAUUAGUUCUUUGAGCUCUAUUGGAGUCAUGCGGUACGAAGCAAUAUACACAGGAGCUGCACCGAGGCAAAUCUCCAUUGCAAAUUCAACUUCACUAACGAAAGGUAAUCCUGAAAAUUCUUUAGGAAACACUUCUAAGAACUAACAUAAUGUAUGGAUAUUACUCGUUUAGUUUUCAUCCGAGUCUAAGUUAAUAAUGUAAGCCAAAUAUGCUUCACAGCUUUGAUUUAAAAGUUUAUUAGCUCAAACUGAUGAAAUGAUACGAGUAGAGCACUCAUUCUUACACCAUUGAAUUCAAUAAUUUCACCUUCAAGAUUUGCACAAAGAACUUUUUUUUACAAUAGUCCAGAACCACACUGUGCUCGGUCAUCAAGUAUAUUCCCAUAAUUAUAUCAAAAUCAUUAAACAGUAUGAUUAACAAAGUAACUAAGAAUAAGUUAUUCUAGAUUUCUAAUGUGCAUCGCUUGUGCACUUGAUCAACGAGUACAAUUUAUUUCAAAGAACUUGGGAUAAAUGUUGUUAUACUUAACAACUCAUUUCAAUUUCCCUACCACAACAUCAUAAAUUCUUAUUUCCAACCUCCCAUAUGUCAUUCAUCAACAUACUUUUUUUGAAACUUGGAUUGGAAGAAUGUUUAAGUAACCUAAUUCACUGGCACAUGACAGGUGACAAUUAGCCACCAUUAACAUAGCUCUCUCUUUAGAAGAGAUACAAUACAGAUGACAUACUUAGGCAGUGGGCAUUCUAAUUGUUGAACUCACUCGGUUAACUCUAACCAAACUUCAACUAAAGAAGGGCCAACACCUUCAACCUUUAGAAAUCAAUUGUUUCAUACUUUUGCAACCCUUUUAUUAGGGCAGGUUGAGCUGCAACUACUAGUGCAACUUGUUGGGAAACUCCUGCUACUUUCUGGGGUACAUCCACUAGUGUGUAGAGUAGAUCACUAUCACCUCGACCCUCAAACUAAGGUUUAUUAAAUCUAUUUCGUUGUCAAGCACCGUCUUGAUCAAUCACGUGUCUUGGCCUUCAACUAAAUGAUCUCCUUCGCUAUUCUCAUACCACAAACUGCUUCGAGUAUGGGCUCAAACCAAUUAAAUUAGAGCACUGAACUAGAAAAAGUUUUCUUUCUUUUUGGGGUGAGAACAAAAUUUCUCUCUUCUUAAUAGAAACUUGUAGAAUUGUUAUUCUGGAAAAAGAUAUGUUAUAGUUGAGAAUAAAUUCUCUCUAUUUUUCGGUAGAAUAAUAAUAUUUCAAAGUUGUGUUAAUAGCUCUACCGGUGCCAUCUAUUUAUAGGAAAAGCAAAUAGAACCCUUGUUGAGUUAUAGCAGUUUAUUUCAAAUAGAAAAACAAUAUAUUACUUAGAAUAGGACUAAGGUGGACGACACACCCUAGUUUUCCUACUAGGGUUGCUGCCCCUUUCAUGUCCAUGAGGGGUUUUUGGGCCUUUCUCACAUUGGGUCCAACUACGAGUACUUCCUAAGUUUUUUUGACCCAGUACUCUGUAAUGUGAUCCAACUUGAUUCAUUUUUUCUAUUUCCCAAAAUAAAAUUUAAUAUUCAUAUAUAAAAUAAAUUUCUCAUCCCUAUUUUACCCCUAGUAAAAUUUUGACGAUUUUACCCCUGGUUAAAUUUCGAGAAAAUAUGUUCAAUAUUUCACAUCUCAACGUGUUCACUAUGACCGAAUGAUUUAUUUUUAUUUUCGGGCUUCAAAACAGUCCAAAAACAUAAACUUAUUAUUCUGAUCAUUUUUUUAAGUAUUCCAUAUAGGAUUGCAAAUGGAUCAUUUCCAUUUUCAUUAUAAUUUUCAUUUCCAUUUCCAUUUUUGGAACCUACAUUCAUUUUCAAAUAAUUUCAUUUCUCCAUUUUAAGGAAAACCAUAAUCAUUUCUGAAUGUUUCUCAUUUCUUUUUUUCCUAUUCAUUCUGUUCAUUUCUAUUCAAACACGCAAUUUAUUUUUGUUUUCAAUGAGUUAACGGAGGGACCGAUUGGACAUAUGUAGUUGAGACUCAAAUGAUUUAUAAUUAAGUUUCAGCUUUUCGCCUAUUAAUUAUAAACUCAUUUAGUCACAAAUUCAUUCCACUAUAGUAUCAUGACUGAGCUCUCCCUAACGACAUACCAUUAUGAAAGUAACUACUCAGUACUCAUCCAAUGACCUUAUCAUGUGUUACCCUCAAAAGAUAUUCUUGAUCUCUUUGGGAUAAUAUCUACUCUCCCAAUAUGAUCUUAUUUUAUAUCAUGGUAAUCAUUACAUAUUCCUUAAUGAAAAGUCAAUCACUAUCAAAUAAUGAUCAAGUAAUCCAUCAGAAAAACAAACCCAUGGUCACAUUUAUUUUUCAUCAACUAUGUAAUGCCUAUGAGAAGAUAUCAUUUACCCAUAUCUCAGGCUAUAAAUUCUACUAUUUUCAAUGACGCUACAUACUGCAGUAGUUGUACACCCAACGGACCAUAUUUCGGUUCCUUAUCUAUUUGAACUCAAGAUUUUACUUAGAUCAAAGUGUACGAGUCACGAACAUAUAGUCCGCCAUCCAUUCAGGAUUUAAGUAUGCUUCACUAUGAAUGUCGCAAGUGAAUAAAUCCAUAAACGGAUUAAAAUAGCCACCUACUUUCCAAGAAAAACUACUGGUGGCUAGUGGAGCUUUUGCAAAUAAUAGGCAUCGUCAUCUAUCCAUCACAACUUGUGAAGACAACAAAGAUACCUACAAAAUAUAUCUACAAACUGAAAAGAGAGAAGACAUGUGUAGUGAAUGAGAAAAAAAAAGAAAGAAAGGGUUGACAGGAGAGAAAAAAGCAGGCGAUAGCCAACCCAGAGAUUGACACCACCGCUGAGCAAAACAAAAGAUAAGAAACAAACAGCUUAAAAAAAAAAAAAGAAAAUUUUAGAGCUUUUCUUAGCAAAAUAUAUUUACUUGAGCAUAGUUCUAUAUGCUUUUAUUUUUAGUAACUAUAGUUUAAAUUUGCAAAUUUCAUCUUAUAAAAUUGAUUGAGGUUUCAUUUUAAAUUUACUUUUUCAAUGUUACUUAUAAAAUAACCACUCAUGAAGUAGUCAAAAUAUAAGCACUAUUUUCUUUAUGAGGGAAAAAGAAGAGAUAUUUAUCGCUUUCUUGAAUCAUAAUCUAAACAUAAAAAAAUUAUUAAACAAUAUACAAAUCAUAUUUAGAGCUAUCCUCAAAGUUCAAAUGAUAUUAGUAAAUUUAUAAAUUUCAAUUCACGUAAAUCUUAAUUAUAAGUAAGAAUUAAAAAAAUUAUCAUGUGUCUGCUACCCUAGCACACCUUUGUCUGUCGCCACUGGCAAGAGUAUUAGGUUUUCCAUGUUCUUUUGUAAUUUUGUCCUUUGAAAUCUAUGGUCUGCGUAAGUUUUUCUCUUGCAACAGGAAUCGUGACCCAUAAAGUUGAAGAUUUAUACCUGCGUAUUAUGGAGGAUGAAUUAGCCCAAUUGUCGAUUAAUGAAGAAGAGGGGGAAAUUAUUCACAUUCCAAUUGAUCCAAGUUUGAAAAAUGGGGGCGAGUUUACUCAACUAGUAGAAUGUUUUCUCACAGCCAGCACGAUCCACUUCCCAGCAAUGAAAAGCACAAUGGCGAAUCUGUGGCAUUCGGUUCAGGGAGUACGAAUUCGAGAUCUAGGGGAAAAAAAGGUAUUUGUUUCACUUCUUUCACGUUAUGGAUAUGGAUAGGAUUUUGAAAGGUUCACCUUGGACCUUUAAUAAUCAUCUGCUAGUGCUUUACAAAUUGGAAUUAGGGGAGGAUCCGUUACAGGUCCUUCUAGUUUUGACACCUUUUUGGGUUCAGGUUCAUGAUGUGCCUAUUGGCCUUUUCUUUAAAAACUUGGCUACCCAGUUAGGUAAUUUCUUGGGGAAUUUUAUAGAACACGAUGUCUCAUAUCUGGGGAAAGAAAACAGGAAUUUUAUAAGAAUUAGAGUUCAAAUUUAUAUAAGGUGUCCUUUGAAAAUAAGGAAACAAAUUUUAUUUGGUGGAAAACGCUCAUAUGUUACUUUUAAAUAUAAACGAUUAUCAUUGUUCUAUUUCUAUUGUGGGAGAUUGGGUCAUAAUGAUUCAUUUUAUAAGGCAAAGAUGAACCUCAGAGUGGAAAUUGUAGAAAUGGGCUGGGAUUUAUGUAUAAAAGCACAAUCACGAAGGGCGUUAUCCAUGAAUAGUGUCUGGCUUCGAAAGGAAGUCGAUGGUGAUAAGAGAGGAACCGAUACAGAAUUUAGAGGUUUCAGAAUGGGCCAACAACAACUGGGGUGGAAAAUAAAAUAUGGGAAAUCUGUUGAUCCAAUUCUUGGCUUUAAUCUGGAAUGAGGUUUUUCUUACGUAGGACGAGGAAAGGAGAAUUUAGCCCCAAAUGUGAUGGACCAUGAUUUGAAGGAUGUAGCUCUUGUAAGGGAAGAGGGGAAGAAGAGGUAUAGAGAGGAAAUUAAAGAUUUAACAGGAAAAGAAGAGACGAGUAAUAUCUUGGCAAGAAGUAGGAGAAUAGUGGAUCUUAAUCUGGUUUUUAUAGGACACCAUAUACGCAAGAUAGAGAAGAUUCAUGAGAAACUUUGAAAAAUCUCCAUAAGGAUGAAGACAACCCUUGGUUUUUCUGUGGAGAUUUUAAUGAAAUUAUGUAUAAUUUUGAAAAAAAAGGGAGGCUUGCUUAGAGAUGAAAGAAGAAUGGAGAUGUUCCGUGAAGCUUUAGAUUUUUGCCAUCUAUCUGAUGUGGGAUAUUCUGGUAGAUGGUUUACUUGGGAAAGAGGUAAUUUAUCAUAAAUAAAUAUUCAAGAGCAUCUGGACUGGGGCGUCGCUAAUGAGAGUUAGAUUUCCAUGUUUCCUGAGGUAAGAGUUGAACACCUGGUACACUCUUUUUCUAACAAUUGUCCCAUUUUCAUUAACACAAAGGAAGACCAACGAAAAAAAGCAAGCCAAUUCAAAUUUGAAUCCUGGUGGAUUUUGGAAGACUCAUUCGUCGACGAAGCUAAACAUUUAUGGGGGAUGGCAUCCGGAGAUUUUCUGAAGAAAAUGGAAACUUUAAAAAAAGGGCUAAUAAACUGGGCAAAAUAAGUGUGAAGAAAUAAACAGGGGAAAAAAGAACUUCUAGCAGCCAAGUUAUCAACACUGACUGAUGCCAAAAUGGAUGAUUCUAACCUAGCUGAGAUGAUUGAUACAAAGAUCCAGCUAAACUUUGAAAUUAAAAAAGAUGAAAGAUACUGGGAACAACGGGAUAGAUUGAACUGGCUAAAACUCGAUGACAAAAACACAGCUUUUUUCCAUAGUCAAGCAACGCAAAGGAAGAGGAAUUUGAUAAGCAAACUACAAAACAGCAGCGGUUGGAAAACGGAUGACAUUCAGGAAAUGGAAAGUAUUGCACAAUCCUAUUUUCAAAAUUUGUUCUCUUAAAAAAUCAAGAGAAUUAUGAUCGUUUGCUUUCGGGAAUUGAUCGAUGCGUCUCUGAGGAAGAUAACAGAAAGCUUACAGAGAAUUGUACAAAAGAAUAGAUGAGAGAGGCUUUAUUUGAAAUGCAUCCCACGAAGGCACCUGGCGAAGAUGGAUUUCCUGCUCUUUUUUACCAAAAAUGUUGGCACUUUAUUGGAGAUGAGGUUACUGCUUUUUGUUUACACCUCUUAAAUGGAGAAAUGGAGGUCAGUUCAAUUAACUCAACUCAUACUAUUCUUAUCUCAAAAAUCAAUAACCCUUCUAAUAUGUCCUAUUUUAGGCCUAUUUAAUUAUGCAAUGUUAUUUAUAAAAUCAUGGCUAAAGCUAUAGCAAACAGAUUUAAAGGUGUCAUUAACAAAUGCAUUAAUAGCGCGUAAAGUGCCUUUGUGCCAGGAAGAUUAAUCUCAGAUAAUAUACUGCUAGCCUAUGAGUUAUUGCACACACUUAAACAAAAGAGAAUGGGGAAAAAGGGAUAUAUGACGGUUAAACUAGACAUGAGUAAAGCUUAUGACAGGGUUGAAUGGAGAUUUAUCAGGGAGACAAUGUUGCGAAUGGGUUUUGCCCAAAAAUGGGUUGCUUCUGUUAUCAACUGCAUGUCUACUAUUUCUUAUCAAGUAGUGCUCAACAGAAGUGUUGGAGGAACUUUCCGUCCAACAAGGGGGCUUCGACAAGGUGGUCCAUUGAGUCUGUUUCUUUUCUUAAUAUGCAGAGAGAGAUUAUCUAGCCUCAUGAGAUUAACUACAAAAGAAGGUUUAUUAAAAGGAGUCAAGUCAAGCAAAAGCAGUCCACGAGUAACACAUUUACUAUUCGCAGACGAUUACAUUUUAUUUGGAAAAGCGUCAAGUAAAGGAGCUCUAGCAUUCAAGGAGAUUCUUAGUGAGUAUAAAAAAUGUUUAGGUCAAUGUGUGAAUUUUGCUAAAUCGACUGUUUUCUUUAGUAAAAACACGCUAGAGGAGGAAAGACAAUUAGUCGUCAAUUUGCUGGGAAUUCGAAGUUUAGAUGAGCUAGAGCGAUACUUGGGUUUGCCAAACAUGGUUGGUAGAAGAAAGAAACAAUCUUUUCAAGCCUUAAAAGAUAGACUGAAACAGCGGAUUGAAAAUUAGAGUAUUCGUUUCUUAUCGCAAGGUGGAAAAGAGAUAUUCAUAAAGGCUGUGCUGCAAGCCAUACCGACAUAUUCAAUGGCUUGUUUUUUACUCCCGAAGUCACUACGUGAAGAAAUGGAGGGUAUUGUUGCGAAAUAUUGGUGGAAAAAGGGUCGUGGAAAAGGGGAAAUUCAUUGAUGCUCUUGGAAAAACCUUUGUUUUUUAAAAGAAAACGGUAGGAUGGGUUUUCGAAAUCUUAGUCAGUUUAAUAUUGCAUUGUUAGCCAAGCAGGGUUGGCGAUUAUUAAAUUAUCCAAAUUCUCUUUUAGCUAGAGUACUUAAAGCCAAAUAUUAUCCAAUAUCUAGUUUUCUAAAUUCACAGUUGGGAAACUUACCAUCUCUUACCUGAAGGAGUAUUUGGGCAGCGAAAGGGCUCCUUCUUAAAGGUCUCAGCUGGAGAGUCGGGAGAGGAGAUGUAAUAUCUAUUUGGACUGAUCGAUGGAUACCAGGGAUUGAACCUGAGACGUGGCAAAACAGAGGAGACAAUGGUGAGUUAGCUUUAGUAUCCGACCUUAUUGAUAGCACAAAUAAGAAGUGGAAGACGGAGAUAAUUACAACUACCUUCCAAAGGGAUAUCGCUCAAAAAAUCUUGCAGGUUCCACUUGCGAGAACAGAUUGUGAGGACAUGCAAGUGUGGAAAGAGGAACACUCCGGUGAGUUUUCAGUACGAAGCGCUUACAAACUAUUACAAGAAGCUAGCUUGGAUCCUAGUAGUUAUUUAGUAUAGGCCGAAACUAAAUAUCUCUACAGGAAAUUAUGGAAUUUACAAUUACCAACAAAAAUCUUAAUACUUAUAUGGCAAAUUUCCUGGAACUAUAUCCCAUCACUAGUUAAUCUUAGAUACAAGAGAGUGGUCACUAAUGCUAGUUGUCCACGAUGCUACUCUGCAGAAGAAGACGGCUACCACGUGUUUAGGCAAUGUC
RNAcentral lists this long non-coding RNA (8839 nucleotides) under Gossypium barbadense (sea-island cotton). Its description in RNAcentral is "long non-coding RNA (GBAR_LNC015010)". The record is from RNAcentral. Lineage: Eukaryota; Viridiplantae; Streptophyta; Magnoliopsida; Malvales; Malvaceae.